UUUCCGUAGGUGAACCUGCGGAAGGAUCAUUGUCAAAAUCCUUAAAUCGUGUCGGUGGACAUGUGGACUUGUUGGGCCAUAUGCGGGGGGUGCCAAGCUGGUUGCUCCGUCUCGACCACCAAGGUUGAUGGGGAUGUGGUUGAGAGGCCAUGUGUAUAUUGGCCCGACCCUCUAAUCGGGCACGGAACGUGCCAAGGAAACUUGGUUAUGAAAGCUCCCCUGUCCCUCGCAUGAUGGGUGCACGGGAUCGAGGGACGAGACUUUUGAGCAAAAUGAGAUAGAAUGACUCUCGACAAUGGAUAUCUCGGCUCCCUUAUCGAUGAAGAACGCGGCAAAAUGCGAUACAUGGUGUGAAUUGCAGAAUCUCGUGAAUCAUUGAGUUUUUGAACGCAAGUUGCGCCCGAAGCCACUUUCUGGUCGAGGGCACACCUGCCUGGGUGUCAAGCAUGGAGUUGCCCCUGGACGCCCCUCCAUCGGGAGAACCAUUUAUUUCGUUUUAUUCUGGGUGGGGGGGACUACGGGGGCAUGUGUUGGCCUCCCGCUGCUUUUCGGCGGUUGGUUCAAAAUAUGGGGUCCUUUCUGACGUGCGUCAUUGAAGGGCUGAUGGAAACAAUGUUGGUCGUGUGCUGGCAUGUGAACCCUCGCAAUCCCAUGGCUUCAUUGACAGACUUUGAGGGAGUAGCCAUUCGGACCCC
This 695-nucleotide unclassified non-coding RNA is filed under the name Viscum schaeferi. RNAcentral describes it as "sequence contains ITS1, 5.8S rRNA gene, ITS2". The stretch from base 285 to 443 matches the Rfam family "5.8S ribosomal RNA". Lineage: Eukaryota; Viridiplantae; Streptophyta; Magnoliopsida; Santalales; Viscaceae. The record is from RNAcentral.